This is a long non-coding RNA of Cyprinus carpio carpio, 1546 nucleotides long. The record is from Ensembl. Lineage: Eukaryota; Metazoa; Chordata; Actinopteri; Cypriniformes; Cyprinidae.
AGGGGACAGCUUGGUUGGAGAAAGGUUAUGUAAAUAGGUUAAGUAUGAAUAAAAUUAAGAAUUAGCUUUAAAAAGGCCUCAUUCAGCUGUGUCAAGACUUUUUUUUGGAACUGACCGCGAAAAAAAUCAACAGCCUUGAGUAACAUAGGAGCACUCGGCUACACAGCAGAGAGUCUGGACCUAGUCUCCACUGGGUCAAGGUAAUCACAACCACAUAUGAUUUUGAUCUGAAUUUGGCAAAAAGAUGACAUAAAGGGAUACAAGAAAAGGCUAUUUUCUUUUGAAUCAAGAUGAAUUCAAGGAAGCUGGCUGUCAUGGGAACCCCAAGCAACAAACAUGAACUUCUGUUCUGUGGAUCUGUUAUCCGUGCACACAGAUCCCAGAGCUGGCUGCGCACUGCGGACCACUCACGCUGCCGAAUCUCCGAACUAGGGGUCCCUAAACAGGAGAACAGAGGGUAAGACUGAAGCUUGGACACCACACAAAACACGGGGAAAAACAAAACAAUCUACUCACGACGACAGACAGGAAGGCAGAGCCAUAUAAGGGAGUGGGGGAACGAGCGACAGGAUCUGCGCACCCCCGCCAUGAUCAGCGCUGAUUGCCCAGACCACGAGCUACCAAACAGACAGGACAACACAGACCACAGGGGAAGCCGAGAAGGCACCCUGCACCGUGACAAUAAGUGCAUAAACUACAAUGAAAACAAACACACAACCAAAAAUGUCUGACUUUCAAUCAAGUGACUAAAUUUGCACUGAGAAGAGAAGGAAAGAAAACAUGCUGCUCUGGGAUGUCAUUAACAAUAGAGUUUAACUUAACUUGCGACUCUAGUUCGCUUUUGGGAAACCCAUUCCUGAGCAAUCUGAAUUCAAUGCCGAAUCAAAGACUGUCAUCAAAAUGAUCGGCUUCAAUUACCUCAGGGCUCGCAGAAUCACUAGGAUGACGUCCUGGGACGAUUGUGCCUUUCAGUCGGGCUACCAAAAUGUAGCCCUGUCCGAUGGGGUUCCCAUGAGUGAAAAAUAAAAGGAAGAAAUCUCAAAAAGUCUUAAAUUUAGUUGCAUCACAGACAAGUUCAUAAAAAGUCUUAAAUAGCCUACCUUAAAUGGUAUAAGAAAAGUCUUAAUAAUAAUUUCUUGGGGUUUUAAAAAAAAGUGCUUUUCAGAGCACACUGUCUGUGCACUCAAACUGCAAUUUAUAUUAAAUAAAACAGCCACAUUUAUAUUUUGCACAUAUACUUAGAAGCAUUGAUUUUGUUUUAUUAAACACAUACGAAGCUUUGUUUUCACAAAUUCCAAUUUCAAUAGUCACAUAUCUAUACUCUCUUUCACAUUUGUCAUCCAGUAAGAAAAACCUGACCAAUAAAAUCUCUGUCUUUGUAUUAACAAGCUGUUGAAUGCUUCCUUAGACAAUCUAUUGAAAAUCUUUUCAAUAAAAUGUUUUUUUUAAAAAAAGAGAGAGAGAGAGAAAGGGUUCAAAUAUAUCAGUAUUUCAUCCAUUAUUUCAAACUUUAAAAGGCCAAUUUGUCUUAAAUGGCCAACUCAGG